This 73-nucleotide transfer RNA is filed under the name Clostridium sp. AM22-16AC. Its description in RNAcentral is "tRNA-Lys". It matches the Rfam family "tRNA". From Rfam's summary of the family: Transfer RNA (tRNA) molecules are approximately 80 nucleotides in length. Their secondary structure includes four short double-helical elements and three loops (D, anti-codon, and T loops). The record is from RNAcentral. Lineage: Bacteria; Bacillati; Bacillota; Clostridia; Eubacteriales; Clostridiaceae. RNAcentral also lists the same sequence under 2 other names.
UGGAACAUAGCUUAGAUGGCAGAGCGGCUGAUAUUUAAUCAGUAUGUCGAGGGUUCGAGUCCUUCUGUUCCAA